RNAcentral lists this unclassified non-coding RNA (309 nucleotides) under Rhodotorula mucilaginosa. Its description in RNAcentral is "partial contains 5.8S ribosomal RNA, internal transcribed spacer 2, and large subunit ribosomal RNA". The record is from RNAcentral. Lineage: Eukaryota; Fungi; Basidiomycota; Microbotryomycetes; Sporidiobolales; Sporidiobolaceae.
CGCACCUUGCGCUCCAUGGUAUUCCGUGGAGCAUGCCUGUUUGAGUGUCAUGAAUACUUCAACCCUCCUCUUUCUUAAUGAUUGAAGAGGUGUUUGGUUUCUGAGCGCUGCUGGCCUUUACGGUCUAGCUCGUUCGUAAUGCAUUAGCAUCCGCAAUCGAACUUCGGAUUGACUUGGCGUAAUAGACUAUUCGCUGAGGAAUUCUAGUCUUCGGACUAGAGCCGGGUUGGGUUAAAGGAAGCUUCUAAUCAGAAUGUCUACAUUUUAAGAUUAGAUCUCAAAUCAGGUAGGACUACCCGCUGAACUUAA